This is an RNA transcript of Carlito syrichta (Philippine tarsier), 789 nucleotides long. It is a transcript of the gene named PRELI domain containing protein 3B pseudogene, with no coding region annotated. The transcript has a single exon. The record is from RefSeq and is a predicted model, not a curated record. NCBI's taxonomy places the organism in Eukaryota, Metazoa, Chordata, Mammalia, Primates, Tarsiidae.
UGCGUGGCCGUCCGGGCUGCUGGGGACAGGGCGGGGGCCGGUGUCACCUCUUUGCCUUGUCAUCCCCUCACGCUGCCCGGUCAUUGAGCGGGCCGCCGGCCCCAUGAAGAUCUGGACUUCCGAGCAUGUCUUUGAUCACCCGUGGGAAACUGUCACAACAGCUGCAAUGCAAAAGUACCCAAACCCUAUGAACCCAAGCGUAGUUGGAGUUGAUGUGCUGGACAUAUAUUUAGAUUCCUCUGGAAAGUUGCACAGCCAUAGGCUUCUCAGCACAGAGUGGGGACUGCCUUCCAUCGUGAAGUCUCUCAUUGGUGCAGCAAGAACCAAAACGUAUGUGCAAGAACAUUUUGUAGUUGAUCCUCUAGACAAAACAAUGGAACUUAAAUCUACUAAUAUUUCAUUUACAAAUAUGGUUUCAGUAGAAGAGAGACUUAUCUACAAAUCACAUCCUCAGGACCCAGAAAAAACUACUUUGACUCAAGAAGCCAUAAUCACUGUGAAAGGAGUCAGCCUUAGUAGUUACCUUGAAGGACUCAUGGCAUGUACAAUAUCUUAAAAUGCCAAUAAAGGCCGAGAAGCAAUGGAAUGGGUAGUACAUAAAUUAAAUGCUGAGAUUGAAGAAUUGACAGCUUCAGUAAGAGGAAGCAUAAGGACUCCAAUGGCGGCAGCAGCAUUUGUAGAGAAAUGAUCAUGGAAAUCGGUAGACAACCUUGGGUGCCCAGGUCUCUCCAAGUUGGCAAUAUAUUUAUUUGUUAUUUAAAAAAUACAACUCUAUUUUAGGUAUGAGAG